RNAcentral lists this long non-coding RNA (251 nucleotides) under Struthio camelus australis. RNAcentral's name for it is "lncRNA (ENSSCUG00000012367.1)". The record is from RNAcentral. Lineage: Eukaryota; Metazoa; Chordata; Aves; Struthioniformes; Struthionidae.
AUGUGCAGUGGAAGAGUGCUAAGAAAGCUGAACUCCCUGCGAGUUACUUCCUUUGAGCUCUUGAUUACGCUACGGUAUGAUCCAGGAUGGAUGAUGUUCUAUCCGUUCCUCUUGAAUACCUCAUGGAUCUCAGUAACAGCUGACUCGUUUGUUCCCAGACCAUACGCCUUUGAGAAGGGGAAAAGGAUGCGUUAAUCCUGCUCUCCUGCCCUCCUGAUGAAGCGUUCGUAGCCUGUUUCGCUCUAUUUGCC